GACGAACGCUGGCGGCGUGCCUAAAACAUGCAAGUCGAACGGGGUAGCAAUACCUAGUGGCGAACGACGGAGUAAUACAUAAGCAACGUGCCCCAAAGACCGGGAUAGUCAUUGGAAACGAUGGGUAAUACCGGAUGUGGCGAGUUGAGGACAUCCUCGACUCAUUAAAGGGUUUUUCGCUUUGGGAGCGGCUUAUGGCCUAUCAGGUAGUUGGUGAGGUAACGGCUCACCAAGCCGACGACGGGUAGCGGGUCUGAGAGGAUGAUCCGCUCGAGUGGGACUGAGACACGGCCCACACACCUACGGGUGGCAGCAGUUGGGAAUCUUGCACAAUGGGGGAAACCCUGAUGCAGCGACGUCGCGUGGAGGAUGAAGGGUCUAGGCUCGUAAACUCCUUUUGCACGGAAAGACUUAGGACGGUACCGUGCGAAUAAGCACCGGCUAACUACGUGCCAGCAGCCGCGGUAAGACGUAGGGUGCAAGCGUUGUCCGGAUUUACUGGGCGUAAAGAGCGCGUAGGCGGUCUGUUAAGUGAGAAGUGAAAUCUCCAGAGCUCAACUCGGAAACUGCUUUUCAUACUGGCGGACUAGAGAGAUGCAGAGGUAUGUGGAAUUCCUGGUGUAGCGGUGAAAUGCAUAGAUAUC
Molecule: ribosomal RNA, 644 nt
Filed under: uncultured bacterium
Lineage: Bacteria
Description: bacterial SSU rRNA
Rfam family: Bacterial small subunit ribosomal RNA
Source: RNAcentral